AAUACCAAAUAUGAAAAUACAAUGGCAUCUCCCUUCUAUUUACACAACAAAUUUCUGUCGCUGCCACCAUAAUCACCGUGCCAUUAUGGCACGGGCAAUCCACUAUCUAUAAUAUAAAGCAAAAUGAUUUGUUUGGUGUCUCAAAGAAUUUUCGUUCAACGAUGAAAUGUCGAAACUUCUCCUCAAUGAUUUUUUUCCUUCCCUCGAGCUGACGUAAAUGUUUACAAACGCAGGGGAAAAAACGGCUAAGGAGGUGAAACAAUGACGCGAUUGCCCCUCCAUGUUUUUGAGUUUGCUUUAGUUUCUAUCGUAAAUUUCACCAAAUCCAGGGGCAAAUAUGCAUCUGUAUUCUACCUAAACAGAAAACAAAAACGCAGAAGAAUAAACUUCUUUCUCGAUAUCGAUUCCUUUCUUCUUCGUCGAAAUCGACCAGUUUCAUCUUGGAUUUCGAUUAAUGUUUACUAGAUUUUGAUUAAUGUUUACUCAAUUUCGAUCCUAGAGUACAGAGCUUGGAUUUGAUAGAUUGAAUACUCAAUCAUCCUUACCAUGUAACCCUAAAUUCGAAAUUGUGUGAACUGAUUGAACCACCACCACCAUUACCAACUUCGUCCUCUGAUUUCUACAUCGAAAUUGGGUGGAUUGAUUGAACCACCGUCAAAAACUUCGUCAACGUGCAGAUUUGUCGGGAACUAUUACUAUAUGUUCCAUGCAUGGGGAUACAGCUAUGUCAUGGCUUCAUGGAUACAUAAGUGUUUUCAAUACAAUGACAGCUGAAGAAGCAACGGUGUUGAACCUAGAGUGUAUGGGAAUGGAGUAUACUCAAGGUUGAGGAGUUCAGAAUACCAACAAUGUUUUAACAUCUUCUAUUACUAUUGUGGAUGGAUUCAUCGAGUUCUUAUCCACGACAAAGUCCGAGACUUAAUGAUCUAGCUCGAGUUCGAGAGAUAACGGAGAAUGAUACUGAAAAAGAAAGGCGGCUGCGCUGUGCUCAAUAUACGGCAAAACUAGAUUCAACUACGGAAGGCGACCUACAGGAGCACAAUGAACGACGCCGUGCAGCUUAUCGUGCAAGAAUUAGUGCAGCAAAUCGCCAACCAGAUGACCCUGAAGCCAGUUCAAAUAGACAAGUUUCAGUAUCAGCUGGGGAGCAUAACGCAAAACCAAGUUUCAUUCUUCGGCGAAGUCCGAGAAUUCAAUUGCUACAGAGAGCACUUUAGUUAGACAAACGCCGUAUUGCAAUGAAAGAAAUACGAAGCGCAAUGAGUGAAAGUGAUAAACAACGGAUCCUUGAACAGCGGCGUAGAGCUUAAAUGCGAAGAACAAUAAAGGGUGAUGCAACUAAUAAUGAGCACAGAGCGGGACCAAGUAGUGAUUUUUCUUUUGCUUAUUUCAGCUGGAAGCCUGUAGCUUCCUUUGAUAGAUGAAGUGCAGGAGCUUAAGUCAAAGGUCAGUUCUUUUUAUAUAGCAAAUUGUGAUUUUCCUUGAUAGAAUCCUUGACUUCCAUGCAUUUUCUGCGCCUAGCAAGUAUAUUCUUCAAAAAAAGAUAAAUUUUAUUGUAUGGAUACUUCUUUAUAGUGUUUGAUCAACGCCCUUAUAUCACUGCUGACUAAAAUUUUCUUUAAUGAGACCUUGGGUACUGAGUCUGAAGUAGGAGUAAGUACACGAACAACUUCUGAGCUGAAAUGUUGGCAGCUGACAGCUGAGACGGUCUUUAACGUUGAAGUUCAAGUUCAAUUGCCGUCACCACUCAAUUGCUAUUAACCAGUCGUGCAAAAUUGUUGGACUUGGUUACCUGAGUGAGUAUUUUUUCUUCUAGACCCUUCCAUGUGCAAAAGUCUUUUUCAAUUUUCAAGUCUGAAAAUGGCUUCUGUACUAAAUGUUGGAAAACAAAACUAAUGUAAUAUAAAUUAAUAAAAUUCAUCAUUUACCAGUUUACA
Long non-coding RNA from Papaver somniferum (opium poppy), 1937 nucleotides. RefSeq lists it as uncharacterized. The record is from RefSeq and is a predicted model, not a curated record. The transcript is spliced from 6 exons. Lineage: Eukaryota; Viridiplantae; Streptophyta; Magnoliopsida; Ranunculales; Papaveraceae.